GCCACCGUGGUGGCAUGUGCCUGUAGUCCCAGCUACUCAGGAGGCUGAGGUGGGAGGAGCGCUUAAGUCCAGGAGUUCUGGGCUGUAGUGCGCUAUGCCGAUCCGGUGUCCGCACUAAGUUCGGCAUCAAUAUGGUGACCUCCCGGGAGCGGGGGACCACCAGGUUGCCUAAGGAGGGGUGAACAGGCCCAGGUUGGAAACGGAGCAGGUCAAAACUCCCGUGCUGAUUAGUAGUGGGAUCGCACCUGUGAAUAGCCACUGCACUCCAGCCUGGGCAACAUCGCGAGACCCCGUCGCUU
Callithrix jacchus (white-tufted-ear marmoset) is the source of this 299-nucleotide unclassified non-coding RNA. It matches the Rfam family "Metazoan signal recognition particle RNA". From Rfam's summary of the family: The signal recognition particle (SRP) is a universally conserved ribonucleoprotein. The record is from Ensembl. Lineage: Eukaryota; Metazoa; Chordata; Mammalia; Primates; Cebidae.